Molecule: ribosomal RNA, 398 nt
Filed under: uncultured bacterium
Lineage: Bacteria
Description: bacterial SSU rRNA
Rfam family: Bacterial small subunit ribosomal RNA
Source: RNAcentral
GACGAACGCUGGCGGCGUGCUUAAUACAUGCAAGUCAACUGAACUUAGGAUAGCAAUAUUUUAAGGGAGGUGGCGCACGGUGAGUAACACGUAGGUAAUCUGCCUUUAGGUCUGACAUAACCUACCGAAAGGUAGGCUAAAAUCAGAUGAUGCAGCGGCUCGACAUCGAGACAGUUGUUAAAUCUUCGGAGCCUAAAGAUGAGCCUGCGUCUGAUUAGGUAGUUGGCGGUGUAAUGGACCACCAAGCCUGCGAUCAGUAGCUGGUCUGAGAGGAUGAUCAGCCACACUGGAACUGAGACACGGUCCAGACUCCUACGGGAGGCAGCAGUAAGGAAUAUUGCUCAAUGGCCGAAAGGCUGAAGCAGCAACGCCGCGUGGAGGAUGAAUACUUUGUAUGU